This 107-nucleotide non-coding RNA is filed under the name Symbiodinium sp. CCMP2430. The record is from RNAcentral. Lineage: Eukaryota; Dinophyceae; Suessiales; Symbiodiniaceae.
CCACGAAAAAGAGAACAAAAGAAGAAAUGAAAGAUGAAGAGAGCGUGCACUUCACUUACCUCUCUUCAUAUUUCAUUUGUCUUUUGUUCUUCUUUUUCUUAUCUUGU